RNAcentral lists this unclassified non-coding RNA (119 nucleotides) under Chryseobacterium sp. RU37D. RNAcentral describes it as "Flavo-1 RNA". The record is from RNAcentral. Lineage: Bacteria; Pseudomonadati; Bacteroidota; Flavobacteriia; Flavobacteriales; Weeksellaceae.
UUUUAGCCCGGAUAGAAGCGGUUACCCCACAGCUGGGUCGGAGUGAUUUGGGUGUAGAAAAGAAUUAUGAGGCUGGAAAACAAUGCUGCGAGGAGUAUGAGUGGAUAGCCGGAUGAAGC